GCCUGGGUGGCUCAGUCGGUUGAGCGUUUGACUUGGGCUCAGGUCAUCAUCUCACAGUUCGUGAGUUCAUGCCCCGCAUCAGGCU
This 85-nucleotide transfer RNA is filed under the name Felis catus (domestic cat). It matches the Rfam family "tRNA". From Rfam's summary of the family: Transfer RNA (tRNA) molecules are approximately 80 nucleotides in length. Their secondary structure includes four short double-helical elements and three loops (D, anti-codon, and T loops). Further hydrogen bonds mediate the characteristic L-shaped molecular structure. tRNAs have two regions of fundamental functional importance: the anti-codon, which is responsible for specific mRNA codon recognition, and the 3' end, to which the tRNAs corresponding amino acid is attached (by aminoacyl-tRNA synthetases). tRNAs cope with the degeneracy of the genetic code in two manners: having more than one tRNA (with a specific anti-codon) for a particular amino acid; and 'wobble' base-pairing, i.e. permitting non-standard base-pairing at the 3rd anti-codon position. Lineage: Eukaryota; Metazoa; Chordata; Mammalia; Carnivora; Felidae. The record is from Rfam by way of RNAcentral.